AAUAAUUUUCGUUGUUUUCACAGUUUUUUACUGUUUUUCUCGACAGUUUCUUACUGUAUAAGUUGUUUACAGUUUGUUACUAUAGAUUUGUUGUUUCCACAGUAUUUUAAUGUAUUUUCAACAGUUUUUUACUGCAUAAGCUUUGUACAGUAGGCUACUGUAGUUUUCCAAUGCAUUAUGGGAAAUAUUACUCUGAAUACAGUAUUACCAACCAACUGCAAAACACAAUGACAAACGUCUAUUUAUAUCUUAAAUGCUUAAUUUUUUUGUGAGAUAUUUGGUUUAAUGUCUGUUUUCACAUCAGAUGCUCGGUGUGUUCCUUUAACAUAAAUCAGGUGCCUUUUCUGAGGCUUUAAUGAAAUCACCAGCCAAUUCAAUAGACAUACCAUCAGUUCUUAAUAUUGUUGCCUCUGUGUCACAAAAUGUAUUUUUAAGAUUAGUUUAGGCGAUAAUAUAUAUAUGUAUAAUCUUCAAAUAGCAGUCGAUUAGUUAAAAAAGCGCUAAUUUUAGAAUUUGAUUAAACAAAUGCGGAGGGUUCAGGCGCGAGUCGGUCACGUGAUGUGCUCCUCAGUUCUGUCAGUAGGGGGAGUGGGAGAACGCGUGUGUGUCGUCGUAUCUGUUCUGCUCAUCUAGCGCGUAUUUCUUUAUUAAUAUCUGCUGGGUGAAUAUUAAUACGUAUAUGCUAACAUUAAUUUUGUGACCACAAAAUGACAGCGAGCUAUUAUACGAGAUAUUGUGUCGUCGUGUUUGUCUUCACUCACUUCAUCAUUAUCUGGUAAGUGCUAUAUGCAAUAUCUGGUAUGAGACUUUAUUGGCACUAAAGGGUUCUUUCGGCUAAAUUUUACUUAAUUUCUGUCAUAACAGCAAACAACUUCUGCAACUACACAAUGAUUGUCUGCCUGUGUGCAAAAUAAAGCACGUUCACUGUGUAAAACCCCGCGCAGGGCAUUUUCAAAUUAACGGUCAGGGCGAGUCUGAGCUUAUCGUGUUGUGUUGACAGAGACUUUGCUGAGUGUAUGUAAAUCUGGGCUACAGUCCACGACAAAUUUUCUACGGUAGAUUUACGCCUGCAUGCUGGUCCUUUCGUCUAUCGCGGGGAUAUCAUCACUUCAGCGGACAUCGCACUGAAGAGAUCCUGUGCUUGCGUGGCGGUGUGUUUGUGUGCUCACUUGGAUUGAGACCAGCAGUGCUUUUUUAAAAGUGGGUGAGUACUAACUUAUUAUUGUGUAGUUUCAUAAAAGCCUUACUCUUUUCAGUCACAUAACUUUUGUUCAUCUGCUAAUAAUAGGACUAUCCAUACACAAAGAUGUAUUGUGGAUUUAAGUAAUAUCUGCGAAUAUUUAUGUGAAAAUGUAUUAGUGUUCUGCUGACAUGAGAUCUGAAAUUGUGUUCUAGGACCUGAUAUGGAUUAAUCCAAUGAUCAACGUUUUCCUUUGUAUCCCUGUUUUGUAUACGCUGCCAUUACAUGAUGGUCAUAUGUCCCGGAUGAUCGGGAGAAGUCACGUGGUUCAAUUAUUAUUUUUUUUUUACGUGGUUCAAUUUUUUUUCAAUUUUUUUUACCAUGCAUUUAGCAUCAGGCAAAGCCUGCAAUCAAUCUAUUAAGACAGAAACAAUAUCUUACUUAUUAUUAUGUUGUUAUGACAAUAUCAUGUGAUCAUCUGAGUUAGAACAAAAUCUAUUCAUUUUCAGGUAUUACUGUGCAAGUUCCCUGAAUCAUUCUGUUGAAAUGUUAUGUGUUUAAGAUUCUUUAUGACAUCAAGAUGUGGUUUGGGAAGGACCUUCAUCUAAAUCUGAAGACAGGACAUACUGGCUCAAAAAGCGUUUGGUCAGGAACUGCCUAUACACUUGAAAAAUGCACAGAACUGGAACAGCACAUCAGUUGGGAGCACAUUAACAAGGAUGAAAUUUAUCCAAUAAUUAUUUUAAUAUUUAUAGGUAAGCAACUACUUGCUGAGUGUAUUUAAUGAGUGUGUAUUAAUCUCUUACAGCUCCCAUACUUAGUACAGUAUAUUUUAAUCAGUGUGGCAAUAACUUGUGUUUUAUUUUUAUGUUUACACAGGUGUUUCUGAUAUGGAGAAAAACCCAGCACUGCUCAUUUUAUUUCUUCAUCUUGAGAAUACAGCAAGUUUACCUUUUGUCUGGAAAAUGAUUCAGCAAAGCUAACACCAACAACAAUUUUUCAUGGCACUUUAAACCACCUUGAUGUGAGGAGCCAGCAUCAGAAUGGAUGGUGUCAAUAUCCUGAAAGUGGAGGUAACAGAGGUGGAUCUCGAGACUUGGCCAUGUUCUAGAUUAUAACUGGAUUAUCACAAGUGCUGUCGCCCCUGCUGUAUAUGACGCCCCCACCACCUACACCAGGUGUAGGAAAUGUCGGUCCUGGAGUGCCGUUGUCCUGCAGAGUUUUGCUCCAGCUCUAAACAAACACACCUGAACAACUAGAUCUGAAGAGUCACCAGAAAACUACAGGUAGGCGAGGUUUUAUCAGGGUUGGAAAUGAAAUCUGCAGGAUUUCGGCACUCCAGGACCGACGUUGCCUACUACUGACCUACACCUUCAUCCUGCCACCACCACCCAUACUACCUACAAAAAACUGUAUUGUAAUUAUGCUUUUCACUGUAUUGUAUGAUGUGGUUUUCUCAUUUAGGGUAACUACACUAUGGCAACAAUUGGAUACAUUGAUUGCUGACUGAUUUUGUUAUUUUUUCUUUACUUUUUGUUUAAAAUCUAAUCAUUUUUUUGUUAUUUUUGUUAAUAUUGUUACAAAUAUACAGUUAAAAACUGCACAAUAAAUUGUCUGCUUUUAAAGA
Non-coding RNA from Paramisgurnus dabryanus, 2807 nucleotides. NCBI's taxonomy places the organism in Eukaryota, Metazoa, Chordata, Actinopteri, Cypriniformes, Cobitidae. The record is from RefSeq and is a predicted model, not a curated record.